RNAcentral lists this ribosomal RNA (449 nucleotides) under uncultured bacterium. RNAcentral describes it as "bacterial SSU rRNA". It matches the Rfam family "Bacterial small subunit ribosomal RNA", at positions 354 to 796 of the family's 1533-position model. The record is from RNAcentral.
GUCGAGAAUCAUUCACAAUGGGCGAAAGCCUGAUGGUGUGACGCCGCGUGGAGGAUGAAGGUCUUCGGAUUGUAAACUCCUGUCAAGUGAGAGUAAAGCCGGGCAUUAACUGUGUGCCGGUCUGAGAGUAUCACUAGAGGAAGGGACGGCUAACUUCGUGCCAGCAGCCGCGGUAAUACGAAGGUCCCAAGCGUUGUUCGGAAUCACUGGGCGUAAAGGGUGCGUAGGCGGCACGGUAAGUCAGAUGUGAAAGCCCGGGGCUCAACCCCGGAACUGCAUCCGAUACUGCCGUGCUAGAGGACUGGAGAGGAGUCUGGAAUUCACAGUGGAGCAGUGAAAUGCGUAGAUAUUGUGAGGAACACCGAUGGCGAAGGCAGCCCCCUGGGCCGACACUGACGCUCAUGCACGAAAGCGUGGGGAGCAAACAGGAUUAGAAACCCGUGUAGUCC